UCCAUAGAAGGGGCUGGAAGGAAGACGAGAUGGAGAGAGGGAAGAAGAGGGAAAAGGAGGAAGGAAGGGAGUGAAAGGGGAGAGGGAUGGGAAGUUGGUUAGUGGGUUAGUUAGUUCAUGACCCUGCUAAAUAGCAACACAGUCCAGUAUGGGUGGCAGUGACUUGUGGACCUUGUUGGGUCUCCAAGCAGGAGAAACCCAAGAGGAAUACCCGUGACCAAGAGCAGAUGUGAACAAAGGACCUGCAUCCAGAUAAUGAGGCCAUUGUUCCCCCUUAAGGACCUUUGGCUUUGCAGGGCUGUGUGGAGAGCCCCAGCUAUUUUUCCUCCAAGACAGAUUAACACAUUGGAUGUCUACCCUCUGCCGGGGGCUGCACUAAGGAGGAGAAUAUUCCUCCAACCAGUUGGGAAGGAGUCUCUGCUGGGGACCAGGGGAGGGGGUGCAAUGAGAAUCAGGAUAACAAGAACAUCUUACGACAAAGAGCUGGUAUAUGGACUGCAUGUGGGGUCAGGAAGGGGAAGUCUCACAACGAUGGUGUCAAGAAGAAAGGCGUGUUGUUACCCAAGCUUUUUAAUAUCUUCAUUGAACAAAAGGGAUGGACAAAUGUAUAAGGUGACCAACACCUACCAGGAUGAGCACGUCUAACUUGCUCCAGCCACACAGCUUUCCUUGCAACUCUCCUACUACGUAGAAGAUGUGGGAGGCAAUCCCUCAGAAUUGUCCAGCUCUAAAGGAGACUGGUCACCAUUCACAGGAAGGUGGAUAUAGCUGGAGACAGUCAUGUUAAGCAAAUUAAGUCAGUUUCAAAAAUACAAGUUUUUUUCCCAUUUGUGGUUAGAUUUUAUAGAGAAGCACAAAGUCGUAUGUAUACACAGGACAUGAAAGUAGACACAAAACUGUUUAGGGUAACCUAGAGGACAAAUGGGAUUGUGGAAGGAGGAAAGGGAGGGGAGUGGGCAGACUUGGGGCACAUAUACUCAAAGCACGUUAUAUCGUUGUCAGGGUGCCUUAUAUAAUCCAAUACCUCAUACAAUAAAACAUAGAGUUUAACAAUAAAAACCAAUUGAAAAAGGAGACACACUGGA
This is a long non-coding RNA of Peromyscus californicus insignis, 1085 nucleotides long. RefSeq lists it as uncharacterized. The transcript is spliced from 3 exons. Lineage: Eukaryota; Metazoa; Chordata; Mammalia; Rodentia; Cricetidae. The record is from RefSeq and is a predicted model, not a curated record.